AGAGUUUGAUCCUGGCUCAGGACGAACGCUGGCGGCGUGCUUAACACAUGCAAGUCGAGCGAUGAAGCUUCCUUCGGGGAGUGGAUUAGCGGCGGACGGGUGAGUAACACGUGGGUAACCUGCCUCAAAGUGGGGGAUAGCCUUCCGAAAGGAAGAUUAAUACCGCAUAAUAUAAGAGAAUCGCAUGAUUUUCUUAUCAAAGAUUUAUUGUUUUGAGAUGGACCCGCGGCGCAUUAGCUAGUUGGUAAGGUAACGGCUUACCAAGGCAACGAUGCGUAGCCGACCUGAGAGGGUGAUCGGCCACAUUGGAACUGAGACACGGUCCAGACUCCUACGGGAGGCAGCAGUGGGGAAUAUUGCGCAAUGGGGGAAACCCUGACGCAGCAACGCCGCGUGGGUGAUGAAGGUCUUCGGAUUGUAAAGCCCUGUUUUCUAGGACGAUAAUGACGGUACUAGAGGAGGAAGCCACGGCUAACUACGUGCCAGCAGCCGCGGUAAUACGUAGGUGGCGAGCGUUGUCCGGAUUUACUGGGCGUAAAGGGUGCGUAGGCGGAUGUUUAAGUGGGAUGUGAAAUCCCCGGGCUUAACCUGGGGGCUGCAUUCCAAACUGGAUAUCUAGAGUGCAGGAGAGGAAAGCGGAAUUCCUAGUGUAGCGGUGAAAUGCGUAGAGAUUAGGAAGAACACCAGUGGCGAAGGCGGCUUUCUGGACUGUAACUGACGCUGAGGCACGAAAGCGUGGGUAGCAAACAGGAUUAGAUACCCUGGUAGUCCACGCCGUAAACGAUGGAUACUAGGUGUAGGGGUAUCAACUCCCCCUGUGCCGCAGUUAACACAAUAAGUAUCCCGCCUGGGGAGUACGGUCGCAAGAUUAAAACUCAAAGGAAUUGACGGGGGCCCGCACAAGCAGCGGAGCAUGUGGUUUAAUUCGAAGCAACGCGAAGAACCUUACCUGGACUUGACAUCCCUUGCAUAGCCUAGAGAUAGGUGAAGCCCUUCGGGGCAAGGAGACAGGUGGUGCAUGGUUGUCGUCAGCUCGUGUCGUGAGAUGUUAGGUUAAGUCCUGCAACGAGCGCAACCCUUGUUAUUAGUUGCUACCAUUAAGUUGAGCACUCUAAUGAGACUGCCUGGGUAACCAGGAGGAAGGUGGGGAUGACGUCAAAUCAUCAUGCCCCUUAUGUCCAGGGCUACACACGUGCUACAAUGGUAGGUACAAUAAGACGCAAGACCGUGAGGUGGAGCAAAACUUAUAAAACCUAUCUCAGUUCGGAUUGUAGGCUGCAACUCGCCUACAUGAAGCUGGAGUUGCUAGUAAUCGCGAAUCAGAAUGUCGCGGUGAAUACGUUCCCGGGCCUUGUACACACCGCCCGUCACACCAUGAGAGCUGGUAACACCCGAAGUCCGUGAGGUAACCGUAAGGAGCCAGCGGCCGAAGGUGGGAUUAGUGAUUGGGGUGAAGUCGUAACAAGGUAGCCGUAGGAGAACCUGCGGCUGGAUCACCU
This 1499-nucleotide ribosomal RNA is filed under the name Clostridium botulinum. Its description in RNAcentral is "bacterial SSU rRNA". It matches the Rfam family "Bacterial small subunit ribosomal RNA". The record is from RNAcentral. Lineage: Bacteria; Bacillati; Bacillota; Clostridia; Eubacteriales; Clostridiaceae.